GGCCUGGUGGCCAAAUGGCAAGGCGCUUGACUACGAUUAAGUAAUCAAGAGAUUGCAGGUUCGAUCCCUGCCCAGGUCG
Non-coding RNA from Zopfia rhizophila CBS 207.26, 79 nucleotides. The record is from the annotation of a GenBank genome assembly. NCBI's taxonomy places the organism in Eukaryota, Fungi, Ascomycota, Dothideomycetes, Zopfiaceae.